RNAcentral lists this ribosomal RNA (403 nucleotides) under Enterococcus durans. Its description in RNAcentral is "bacterial SSU rRNA". It matches the Rfam family "Bacterial small subunit ribosomal RNA", at positions 1003 to 1407 of the family's 1533-position model. The record is from RNAcentral. Lineage: Bacteria; Bacillati; Bacillota; Bacilli; Lactobacillales; Enterococcaceae.
GAGAUAGAGCUUCCCCUUCGGGGGCAAAGUGACAGGUGGUGCAUGGUUGUCGUCAGCUCGUGUCGUGAGAUGUUGGGUUAAGUCCCGCAACGAGCGCAACCCUUAUUGUUAGUUGCCAUCAUUCAGUUGGGCACUCUAGCAAGACUGCCGGUGACAAACCGGAGGAAGGUGGGGAUGACGUCAAAUCAUCAUGCCCCUUAUGACCUGGGCUACACACGUGCUACAAUGGGAAGUACAACGAGUCGCGAAGUCGCGAGGCUAAGCUAAUCUCUUAAAGCUUCUCUCAGUUCGGAUUGUAGGCUGCAACUCGCCUACAUGAAGCCGGAAUCGCUAGUAAUCGCGGAUCAGCACGCCGCGGUGAAUACGUUCCCGGGCCUUGUACACACCGCCCGUCACACCACGA